CACAAAAUAGCUUAUAAUAUCAAAGCGUAGGUCUUUUAAACCUAAAAAAGUAUACUUACUUUUUGUGA
RNAcentral lists this transfer RNA (68 nucleotides) under Xenoturbella japonica. RNAcentral's name for it is "tRNA-Lys". It matches the Rfam family "tRNA". From Rfam's summary of the family: Transfer RNA (tRNA) molecules are approximately 80 nucleotides in length. The record is from RNAcentral. Lineage: Eukaryota; Metazoa; Xenacoelomorpha; Xenoturbellidae.